This is a long non-coding RNA of Oreochromis aureus, 277 nucleotides long. RefSeq lists it as uncharacterized. The record is from RefSeq and is a predicted model, not a curated record. The transcript has 4 exons. Lineage: Eukaryota; Metazoa; Chordata; Actinopteri; Cichliformes; Cichlidae.
AGCCACAACCCCUACUACUGCUACUGGCAGUAGUACUACUCAUACUGUUGCUGGAAGUGGAACAAUUACUACAGUAGAAGAAAAUAAAGAACACAGAGCUUCAUUUGACCCAAAGAUCCUCAUCAUCCCUCUGAGUGUGUUGACCUUGAUUGUAAUUGUGAUGCUGUUCAUCUGGUUUAUAAUGAGACACAAGCAGAACAAAGCAGAAUCAUCAGCCACAGCAAUGGGUGGAGAUGAAGUAACAUACUCUGAAGUCAGACCCAAGAAAAAACGUUCA